Molecule: transfer RNA, 90 nt
Filed under: Clostridiales bacterium
Lineage: Bacteria; Bacillati; Bacillota; Clostridia; Eubacteriales
Description: tRNA-Ser
Rfam family: tRNA
About the family: Transfer RNA (tRNA) molecules are approximately 80 nucleotides in length. Their secondary structure includes four short double-helical elements and three loops (D, anti-codon, and T loops).
Source: RNAcentral
GGAGAAGUACUCAAGUGGCUGAAGAGACUCCCCUGCUAAGGGAGUAGGCUGGCUAAAACCGGCGCGGGGGUUCAAAUCCCCCCUUCUCCG